GUGGUUUGUUAAGUUGGUGGUUUAAUCUCUGGGCUCAACCCAGAGUCAGCCUCCAAAACUGGCGAACUUGAGUACGAUAGGGGAUAGCGGAAUUCUCGGUGUAGCGGUGGAAUGCGUAGAUAUCGAGAGGAACACCAAUGGCGAAGGCAGCUAUCUGGAUCGUAACUGACACUCAUGAGCGAAAGUGCGGGGAGCAAACAGGAUUAGAUACCCUGGUAGUCCGCACCGUAAACGUUGUAUACUAGUUGUUGGCGGUUUCAACGCCGUCAGUGACGACGCUAACGCAUUAAGUAUACCGCCUGGGGAGUAUGCUCGCAAGGGUGAAACUCAAAGAAAUUGACGGGGGCCCGCACAAGCGGUGGAGCAUGUGGUUUAAUUCGACGAUACGGCGAGAAACCUUACCUGGGUUUGACAUGGAUUUGACUGGGGUAGAGAUACCCCUUCCCGCAAGGGCAGAUUCACAGGUGUUGCAUGGUCGUCGUCAGCUCGUGUUGUGAGAUGUUGGGUUAAGUCCCGCAACGAGCGCAACCCCUAUCUUCUGUUACCAUCAUUAAGUUGGGGACUCUGAAGAAACCGCCGGUGACAAACCGGAGGAAGGUGGGGAUGACGUCAGAUCAGCAUGGCCCUUAUAUCCAGGGCUACACACGUGCUACAAUGGCCAGUACAGAGGGACGCAAAGCCGCGAGGUGGAGCAAAUCCCACAAAGCUGGUCUCAGUUCAGAUUGCAGUCUGCAACUCGACUGCAUGAAGUCGGAAUCGCUAGUA
Molecule: ribosomal RNA, 765 nt
Filed under: uncultured Leptospiraceae bacterium
Lineage: Bacteria; Pseudomonadati; Spirochaetota; Leptospiria; Leptospirales; Leptospiraceae
Description: bacterial SSU rRNA
Rfam family: Bacterial small subunit ribosomal RNA
Source: RNAcentral